GUUCUCACUUCAGCAGUACAUAUACUAAAAUUGGAACAAUACAAAGAAGAUUAGCAUGGCCUCUGCACAAGGAUGACACACAGAUUCAUGACAUGUUCCUAUUAACA
RNAcentral lists this small nuclear RNA (107 nucleotides) under Neotoma lepida (desert woodrat). The record is from RNAcentral. Lineage: Eukaryota; Metazoa; Chordata; Mammalia; Rodentia; Cricetidae.